RNAcentral lists this long non-coding RNA (2664 nucleotides) under Patiria miniata (bat star). RNAcentral describes it as "uncharacterized LOC119740821". Lineage: Eukaryota; Metazoa; Echinodermata; Asteroidea; Valvatida; Asterinidae. The record is from RNAcentral.
CGGUGUAGACACAACAAAAACUAUUUGACAAUAAAGAUGCGUCAUGAAAACCGCAAGUUCUGGGAUAUACCUAUAAUCAUGACUCAACACUAAAUGCAAUACUCGCGGAACAACAAUGCACAGUAAUUUGUACACAAUGUGAAGUGCAUGACCACAGUUGUGUGUAUGGUAGAUAUGAGUGUACUAUAUCUAAUCAGUUGUAUUCGGAUCGUACACAGCUGUGGUAAAUCGGCCGAAGGCGGUACACGCCUACUGGGGCGUGUUGCAGUAACGCCCAUGCCAAAUCACCCGCACGCUUUAUGUUCAAACACAAUACCAUAGGACCACACGGCAGGCUUAUUGGGGUGUACACAGUGAGCCGGAUUGAGCCCAUUAUGGAGUCAUCCUUUACGAUAGCACUGCCCAGCUCUUUUAGCCACCAACCAGGCUAAGUCACUUAUGACGGACAAAGAGGACAAUAGCUAGCCUCUCCGAGACCAGCUAACAAAAGACAGGUGACUUUGCCAGAGGUGAAUAAGACCCCCUCCCUUAACUACGCCCCCUUCACGGAUUCUGGUUGACAGUCUGUUCCUUUGGUGUGGUAUAUUCUAGUAUGAUUACAUGAGCCGUAUAAGGAAACGCGCGUGUUUCGUAUUCAUUCGUAAGCUCAGAUUGCAUCCGCCGUGUAGAGCCGGAAGAAAUAACACGAGUGAAGUGAAAGGCACGAAAGGAGGAAAAUGACAAUCGCUUGACGUCGCUUGUUCAAGGUCGUAAAGCGUUUCAGUAUGACAAAGAUUACGUCACAGUCACAUGUUUCAGAUGUGAUUCGUUUUUUUUUGCGGGGGUUUUGAUUUAUUUGAAAUGGCUGCCAAAAAUACGUCAGGUGGAUUCACUGAGAUAGAAAAUGCCAAAAAAACCCAGUUAAUUUAAUGAAUUUAUCUUUUGAGUACUUAAACUAUCCCAUUGAUCGAAUCCAUAGCUAUGCAGGUCUAGAUUUCUCGUGGUUGUAACAUUGAUAGCACUUUUGAAGAAAAAAAACAACUGUAGAAAAAAAACCACUGUAACACCAGACUGACUACAGGCAAGUGCAUACAUUUGAACUGUUAAUUGUUAGUUCUUUUAACUUAAACAACCUUUACGGGUCAACUGUUUAUUGUGAAGCGGAAAACAAAGAAGUUGAAAUUUGUAUUGUUAAGAGUAUGCAUAAUACCAUUGCAUUAAUCACAAUGCUUGCACUUUAUGUAUUGUUAGUUGCUAGUUAAACAAUAGUUUUUGUAAACUGUCGUAAUAUCAGAUUCAAUUUCGAUUUCGUGCGUUCAAGGAAUUGCCGUGUCAUGUUCCAUUAUUCAAUGCCGAAAGGUCACUUUACCUUGCGGCUUAGUAUUACGUAUUACGCCCUUCAUAACAAUAGCAAAAGAAAGCAAAAGUACUCAUGAGGACAAAUGAAGUUCUGCUUCUAUAAAACAAAUGUCAAUGUAUAAUUAUUAAUAUUACAUAACAUUCUGUUCGCUUCCUUCUGCUGUCCAUAUCACUCAUGAUUAUUCUUAGUUAACUUUCGUUUGUACUGUUGGCGCAGAGCCACAUUUCAACUUCGUCCCAAAAGCGAAGAGACAUCCGUACCCUGCAGAUGAAACAAUACUCGGGGAAGGAUCCAUAUUUCUUCUUGUUCCACUGAGCUCGGUUUGAUACGUUUGUGAGUUCGAAUCAGUUGUAAAACAGUACCAUCAAGGACAACGUCAGAAGACCAUAUUUUCUUCAUUCAUUCAUUUUUACUGGCUCCAGAGGGCCGACUUACAACCUUGUUGGCGCAUAACUCGCUGACUGACUGACUGAAUCACUGACUAACAGACUGUCACUUGUAAAAGAGUAUCCGAAAGAGAGAUGUGAUCAACAAAAUAAUGGCUAAAGGAAUUAAAGUGUCCACGAUUUCACUAGAGAUAGGGGCACAUAAUACGCACAGACAUGCAUUACGUGAGAAAAAAAAGUCACAUUGAUUUUCGCGGCUUUGUUUUACAUUGACUUUUAUGAAGUUGUGGGGUUUCAUUCUAGCGUACCACUUCAAGGUAUACUUGGAACCUGCACUGAUAACCCAGUCACUCGGUUUACAAUAACUAUAAUUUAUACUCAAGAGGACAUUCACACACUACGACAAAAAAAUGCAUCACCACCCUCUACAAGACAUACAUUCGUCCACACCUUGAAUAUUGUAUCCAAGCAUGGAGCCCAAGUCUCAAGAAAGAUGUGACGGUGUUAGAAAAGGUACAGCGUAGGGCAACCAAGAUCAUCCCAAGCUUGAAAAACAAAACUUAUACAGAGAGAUUUGAGUUGAACCAUACAGUUGGAAGCAAGAAGACAACGAGGUGACUUGAUCGAGGUGCAUAAGAUCGUAAAUGGCUUGGAAGGCAUUGAGGAGAGCAAGCUCUUCCAGAUACACGACAACCCAUUCCAAGUCAGAGGACACAACCUAAAGCUCUACAAACCAGGAUUAAAGAAAGGGUUGAACUGCAGAAAAAAAACCUUCUUUUCCAGCCGAGUUAUUUCCGGAAUGGAACAACCUGCCAUCACAUGUGGUGAAUGCAGCCUCAACCAACCUGUUUAAGAACCAACUUGAUGCCUUGGAAAAUUUUGGAUAUGGGGUCAUAAAGACUUAGCCUAUUCAAUUCCAUCAACCUAAGUCAGCAAGUA